AAGGCUUGACAUAUUCGAGAACGGGCCAGAAAUGGUCAACUCUUUGGACACUCGUUUACAGGUGGUGCAUGGUUGUCGUCAGCUCGUGUCGUGAGAUGUUCGGUUAAGUCCGGCAACGAGCGCAACCCUCGUCCUAUGUUGCCAGCACGUAAUGGUGGGAACUCAUGGGAUACUGCCGUGGUCAACACGGAGGAAGGUGGGGAUGACGUCAAAUCAUCAUGCCCCUUAUGUCUUGGGCUUCACGCAUGCUACAAUGGCCGGUACAAAGGGCUGCGAUACCGCGAGGUGGAGCGAAUCCCAAAAAGCCGGUCUCAGUUCGGAUUGGGGUCUGCAACUCGACCCCAUGAAGUCGGAGUCGCUAGUAAUCGCAGAUCAGCAACGCUGCGGUGAAUACGUUCC
Molecule: ribosomal RNA, 399 nt
Filed under: uncultured bacterium
Lineage: Bacteria
Description: bacterial SSU rRNA
Rfam family: Bacterial small subunit ribosomal RNA
Source: RNAcentral